AAAAUGCAUGGCAUGCUCAAUGGUACCAGCGACGAUGGGGGAUAAGCUUCAUCGUCGAGAGGGAAACUGCCCGGAUCACCAGCUAAGGCCCCUAAAUGAUCGCUCAGUGAUAAAGGAGGUAAGGGUGCAGAGACAGCCAGGAGGUUUGCCUAGAAGCAGUCACCCCUUGAAAGAGUGCGUAAUAGCUCACUGAUCGAGCGCUCUUGCCCCGUUCAUCUUCGGUGCAAGAGCGCUCGAUACUCUGAAAUAGAACGAGAAAAAUUGAAUUUGAUUAAUUCAACUUAUAAGACUUUGGAACAAUUAGAAAAUUACAAAAACGACGAGGAACCCUGAACUGAAAUAAAUAAUUGUUCCGAUGGAA
Molecule: non-coding RNA, 361 nt
Organism: Nicotiana attenuata
Lineage: Eukaryota; Viridiplantae; Streptophyta; Magnoliopsida; Solanales; Solanaceae
Source: Rfam